AANACGCUGGCGGUAUGCUUUACACAUGCAAGUCGUACGAGAGUUUUUAACUCAAGUGGCGGGACGGGUGAGUAACACGUAAGAAUUUACCUUUAGGAGGGGGAUAACAACUGGAAACGGUUGCUAAUACCCCAUAUGCUUUCGAGUGAAAUGGAUUUUCCGCCUAAAGAGAAGCUUGCGGCUGAUUAGCUUGUUGGUNAGAUAAAAGCUUACCAAGGCGACGAUCAGUAGCUGGUUUGAGAGGAUGAUCAACCACACUGGAACUGAGACACGGUCCAGACUUCUACNGAAGGCANCAGUUGGGAAUUUUCCGCANUGGGCCGAAAGCCUGACGGAGCAAUACCGCGUGAGGGAAGAAUGCCUGUGGGUUGCAAACCUCUUUUNUUAANGAAGAANUUCUUGNCGGUNCUUAAGGAAUAAGCAUCGGCUAACUCCGUGCCAGCAGCCGCGGUAAU
This 455-nucleotide ribosomal RNA is filed under the name uncultured bacterium. RNAcentral describes it as "partial 16S ribosomal RNA". It matches the Rfam family "Bacterial small subunit ribosomal RNA", at positions 33 to 524 of the family's 1533-position model. The record is from RNAcentral.